AGAGUUUGAUCCUGGCUCAGGAUGAACGCCGGCGGUGUGCCUAAUACAUGCAAGUCGUACGCACUGGCCCAACUGAUUGAUGGUGCUUGCACCUGAUUGACGAUGGAUCACCAGUGAGUGGCGGACGGGUGAGUAACACGUAGGUAACCUGCCCCGGAGCGGGGGAUAACAUUUGGAAACAGAUGCUAAUACCGCAUAACAACAAAAGCCACAUGGCUUUUGUUUGAAAGAUGGCCUUGGCUAUCACUCUGGGAUGGACCUGCGGUACAUUAGCUAGUUGGUAAGGUAACGGCUUACCAAGGCGAUGAUGCAUAGCCGAGUUGAGAGACUGAUCGGCCACAAUGGAACUGAGACACGGUCCAUACUCCUACGGGAGGCAGCAGUAGGGAAUCUUCCACAAUGGGCGCAAGCCUGAUGGAGCAACACCGCGUGAGUGAAGAAGGGUUUCGGCUCGUAAAGCUCUGUUGUUGGAGAAGAACGUGCGUGAGAGUAACUGUUCACGCAGUGACGGUAUCCAACCAGAAAGUCACGGCUAACUACGUGCCAGCAGCCGCGGUAAUACGUAGGUGGCAAGCGUUAUCCGGAUUUAUUGGGCGUAAAGCGAGCGCAGGCGGUUGCUUAGGUCUGAUGUGAAAGCCUUCGGCUUAACCGAAGAAGUGCAUCGGAAACCGGGCGACUUGAGUGCAGAAGAGGACAGUGGAACUCCAUGUGUAGCGGUGGAAUGCGUAGAUAUAUGGAAGAACACCAGUGGCGAAGGCGGCUGUCUGGUCUGCAACUGACGCUGAGGCUCGAAAGCAUGGGUAGCGAACAGGAUUAGAUACCCUGGUAGUCCAUACCGUAAACGAUGAGUGCUAGGUGUUGGAGGGUUUCCGCCCUUCAGUGCCGGAGCUAACGCAUUAAGCACUCCGCCUGGGGAGUACGACCGCAAGGUUGAAACUCAAAGGAAUUGACGGGGGCCCGCACAAGCGGUGGAGCAUGUGGUUUAAUUCGAAGCUACGCGAAGAACCUUACCAGGUCUUGACAUCUUGCGCUAACCUUAGAGAUAAGGCGUUCCCUUCGGGGACGCAAUGACAGGUGGUGCAUGGUCGUCGUCAGCUCGUGUCGUGAGAUGUUGGGUUAAGUCCCGCAACGAGCGCAACCCUUGUUACUAGUUGCCAGCAUUAAGUUAGGCACUCUAGUGAGACUGCCGGUGACAAACCGGAGGAAGGUGGGGACGACGUCAGAUCAUCAUGCCCCUUAUGACCUGGGCUACACACGUGCUACAAUGGACGGUACAACGAGUCGCAAGCUCGCGAGAGUAAGCUAAUCUCUAAAGCCGUUCUCAGUUCGGACUGUAGGCUGCAACUCGCCUACACGAAGUCGGAAUCGCUAGUAAUCGCGGAUCAGCAUGCCGCGGUGAAUACGUUCCCGGGCCUUGUACUCACCGCCCGUCA
This 1433-nucleotide ribosomal RNA is filed under the name uncultured bacterium. Its description in RNAcentral is "bacterial SSU rRNA". It matches the Rfam family "Bacterial small subunit ribosomal RNA". The record is from RNAcentral.